Molecule: ribosomal RNA, 2887 nt
Filed under: Salmonella enterica subsp. enterica serovar Poona
Lineage: Bacteria; Pseudomonadati; Pseudomonadota; Gammaproteobacteria; Enterobacterales; Enterobacteriaceae
Description: partial 23S ribosomal RNA
Rfam family: Bacterial large subunit ribosomal RNA
Source: RNAcentral
GGGUUGUGAGGUUAAGCGACUAAGCGUACACGGUGGAUGCCCUGGCAGUCAGAGGCGAUGAAGGACGUGCUAAUCUGCGAUAAGCGCCGGUAAGGUGAUAUGAACCGUUAUAACCGGCGAUUUCCGAAUGGGGAAACCCAGUGUGACUCGUCACACUAUCAUUAACUGAAUCCAUAGGUUAAUGAGGCGAACCGGGGGAACUGAAACAUCUAAGUACCCCGAGGAAAAGAAAUCAACCGAGAUUCCCCCAGUAGCGGCGAGCGAACGGGGAGGAGCCCAGAGCCUGAAUCAGCAUGUGUGUUAGUGGAAGCGUCUGGAAAGGCGCGCGAUACAGGGUGACAGCCCCGUACACAAAAGCGCAUGUGCUGUGAGCUCGAUGAGUAGGGCGGGACACGUGGUAUCCUGUCUGAAUAUGGGGGGACCAUCCUCCAAGGCUAAAUACUCCUGACUGACCGAUAGUGAACCAGUACCGUGAGGGAAAGGCGAAAAGAACCCCGGCGAGGGGAGUGAAAAAGAACCUGAAACCGUGUACGUACAAGCAGUGGGAGCCCCACCACUAAGCCAGUGGUGAACUCCACAUACGCAUCCUUUGCUGAGGAUACGGUUAACGGAGCGAAAGCGACGUUCAACCUCAAAAGAAGCAGAGGGGGCUUAGUGGUGGGGUGACUGCGUACCUUUUGUAUAAUGGGUCAGCGACUUAUAUUCUGUAGCAAGGUUAACCGUAUAGGGGAGCCGCAGGGAAACCGAGUCUUAACCGGGCGUUAAGUUGCAGGGUAUAGACCCGAAACCCGGUGAUCUAGCCAUGGGCAGGUUGAAGGUUGGGUAACACUAACUGGAGGACCGAACCGACUAAUGUUGAAAAAUUAGCGGAUGACCUGUGGCUGGGGGUGAAAGGCCAAUCAAACCGGGAGAUAGCUGGUUCUCCCCGAAAGCUAUUUAGGUAGCGCCUCGUGAACUCAUCUCCGGGGGUAGAGCACUGUUUCGGCUAGGGGGCCAUCCCGGCUUACCAACCCGAUGCAAACUGCGAAUACCGGAGAAUGUUAUCACGGGAGACACACGGCGGGUGCUAACGUCCGUCGUGAAGAGGGAAACAACCCAGACCGCCAGCUAAGGUCCCAAAGUCAUGGUUAAGUGGGAAACGAUGUGGGAAGGCCCAGACAGCCAGGAUGUUGGCUUAGAAGCAGCCAUCAUUUAAAGAAAGCGUAAUAGCUCACUGGUCGAGUCGGCCUGCGCGGAAGAUGUAACGGGGCUAAACCAUGCACCGAAGCUGCGGCAGCGACACUAUGUGUUGUUGGGUAGGGGAGCGUUCUGUAAGCCUGUGAAGGUGGCCUGUGAGGGUUGCUGGAGGUAUCAGAAGUGCGAAUGCUGACAUAAGUAACGAUAAAGCGGGUGAAAAGCCCGCUCGCCGGAAGACCAAGGGUUCCUGUCCAACGUUAAUCGGGGCAGGGUGAGUCGACCCCUAAGGCGAGGCCGAAAGGCGUAGUCGAUGGGAAACGGGUUAAUAUUCCCGUACUUGGUGUUACUGCGAAGGGGGGACGGAGAAGGCUAUGUUGGCCGGGCGACGGUUGUCCCGGUUUAAGCGUGUAGGUGUGUGUUCCAGGUAAAUCCGGUUCACUUUAACACUGAGGCGUGAUGACGAGGCACUACGGUGCUGAAGCAACAAAUGCCCUGCUUCCAGGAAAAGCCUCUAAGCAUCAGGUAACAUCAAAUCGUACCCCAAACCGACACAGGUGGUCAGGUAGAGAAUACCAAGGCGCUUGAGAGAACUCGGGUGAAGGAACUAGGCAAAAUGGUGCCGUAACUUCGGGAGAAGGCACGCUGACAUGUAGGUGAAGUGAUUUACUCAUGGAGCUGAAGUCAGUCGAAGAUACCAGCUGGCUGCAACUGUUUAUUAAAAACACAGCACUGUGCAAACACGAAAGUGGACGUAUACGGUGUGACGCCUGCCCGGUGCCGGAAGGUUAAUUGAUGGGGUCAGCGCAAGCGAAGCUCCUGAUCGAAGCCCCGGUAAACGGCGGCCGUAACUAUAACGGUCCUAAGGUAGCGAAAUUCCUUGUCGGGUAAGUUCCGACCUGCACGAAUGGCGUAAUGAUGGCCAGGCUGUCUCCACCCGAGACUCAGUGAAAUUGAACUCGCUGUGAAGAUGCAGUGUACCCGCGGCAAGACGGAAAGACCCCGUGAACCUUUACUAUAGCUUGACACUGAACAUUGAGCCUUGAUGUGUAGGAUAGGUGGGAGGCUUUGAAGUGUGGACGCCAGUCUGCAUGGAGCCGACCUUGAAAUACCACCCUUUAAUGUUUGAUGUUCUAACGUGGACCCGUAAUCCGGGUUGCGGACAGUGUCUGGUGGGUAGUUUGACUGGGGCGGUCUCCUCCUAAAGAGUAACGGAGGAGCACGAAGGUUGGCUAAUCCUGGUCGGACAUCAGGAGGUUAGUGCAAUGGCAUAAGCCAGCUUGACUGCGAGCGUGACGGCGCGAGCAGGUGCGAAAGCAGGUCAUAGUGAUCCGGUGGUUCUGAAUGGAAGGGCCAUCGCUCAACGGAUAAAAGGUACUCCGGGGAUAACAGGCUGAUACCGCCCAAGAGUUCAUAUCGACGGCGGUGUUUGGCACCUCGAUGUCGGCUCAUCACAUCCUGGGGCUGAAGUAGGUCCCAAGGGUAUGGCUGUUCGCCAUUUAAAGUGGUACGCGAGCUGGGUUUAGAACGUCGUGAGACAGUUCGGUCCCUAUCUGCCGUGGGCGCUGGAGAACUGAGGGGGGCUGCUCCUAGUACGAGAGGACCGGAGUGGACGCAUCACUGGUGUUCGGGUUGUCAUGCCAAUGGCACUGCCCGGUAGCUAAAUGCGGAAGAGAUAAGUGCUGAAAGCAUCUAAGCACGAAACUUGCCCCGA